Molecule: unclassified non-coding RNA, 377 nt
Filed under: uncultured Chlamydiales bacterium
Lineage: Bacteria; Pseudomonadati; Chlamydiota; Chlamydiia; Chlamydiales
Description: contains 16S-23S intergenic spacer region
Source: RNAcentral
UCCCGGUUAACCCGGGCAGUCUCGUUAGAGUUCCCAUCCUAAAUGCUGGCAACUAACGAUAAGGGUUGCGCUCGUUGCGGGACUUAACCCAACACCUCACGGCACGAGCUGACGACAGCCAUGCAGCACCUGUGCAGAGGUCCCGAAGGAACACUUCAUUUCUGAAGCUGUCCUCUGCAUGUCAAGCCUGGGUAAGGUUCUUCGCGUUGCAUCGAAUUAAACCACAUGCUCCACUGCUUGUGCGGGUCCCCGUCAAUUCUUUUGAGUUUCACCCUUGCGAGCGUACUCCCCAGGCGGCAUACUUAUCACGUUAGCUUCGGCACAGCCGGGGUUGAGUCCGGCUACACCAAGUAUGCAUCGUUUACGGCUAGGACUAC